RNAcentral lists this long non-coding RNA (616 nucleotides) under Androctonus crassicauda. Lineage: Eukaryota; Metazoa; Arthropoda; Arachnida; Scorpiones; Buthidae. The record is from RNAcentral.
UUAUAUUAUAUAUAUAUUUUAGGAUAAUAUAUUCCUGUUAUAUGAAUUUUUUUUUAUUUCUAUCAUAAUAUCCAAAAAAUGGACAGUGUGAAUGCUUCUAGGCUAUGAGUUUUGUCGGUAUGUCUCCAAAUUACAAAUACAUCAUCUAUGUAUCUGAGAUAGACUUUGUAUUCAAGUUCAAAUUCUGGUAGAAUUCUAUCCUCCACAGUACUAAUCAGAAUCUCUGCUAAUAUAACCAUCAUUGGGCUGCUAAUCAAGACCCACAGAUCUGUUUGUAAAACUUUUCUUUUUAUGUAAAAUACAAUUGCUGGCACAUCAUAUGUGCCAAAUUCCUAAGAGUAUUCACUUUUUCAUUUGCUCCUGGGACAUGUCGUAGAAGAAAUCUAUAAAAUAUUAAACACAGAGAAAUUUUCAUGAAGGAAAAAGACAUUGGAAAUCUAAUGUUCCUAAUACUUCUUUUUGAUCUGGUACUUCCUGUAAUAGUCUGCAAAAAAAAAAAAACUGUUGAAGUUAGACUUAUUAUAGCUUUGGAACUAAUGAAUAAUACAUCAGUCAACUGGGGCUUUCUCAGUUUCAUAAAGCAGCAAAUGCCUUUUCUCAAAUGUUAUAAAGGUAA